Molecule: transfer RNA, 70 nt
Filed under: Marmota monax (woodchuck)
Lineage: Eukaryota; Metazoa; Chordata; Mammalia; Rodentia; Sciuridae
Description: tRNA.Ala
Source: RNAcentral
GGAUUGAGGCUCAGUGGUAGAGUGCUUGCCUUGCACACAUGAGGCACUGGGUUUGAUCCUCAGCACUACA